Molecule: ribosomal RNA, 109 nt
Filed under: Alistipes sp.
Lineage: Bacteria; Pseudomonadati; Bacteroidota; Bacteroidia; Bacteroidales; Rikenellaceae
Also listed under: 2 other names
Source: RNAcentral
UCAGGUGGUUAUAGUGUCGGGGUUCCACCUCUUCCCAUUCCGAACAGAGAAGUUAAGCCCGACCGCGCCGAUGGUACUGCGUUUGUGGGAGAGUAGGUAGCCGCCGUUU